GGGCCCAGGGAAGAGUUCAGAUGUCUGCCUGCCUCCGGUGGUGUGCCCUUUACGCAGAGCACAGCCAGAACUCCAGGCUUAAGAGGAAAACACGGGGCCUAUUUCCAGAAACCUGAGAAAGAGAUGAACUAUCUUCUGGCACAGAAGAUAAGGAAAAGCUCUGGGAAAGAUAUUGAGAAAUUGACCUACCAGGAGAUAAGAAAGGUGCCUGUGGAAGCUUCUUACCUCUUGAGGAUAUCUGGAUGGUCAUAUGUCAGAUUUCUGGGAACCAGCCUUGUUGCCCUCAUGGAGCCCUGCAGGAAUUCACAUUCCUCUUAUGGAAUGUGAAUCUGAUUCCCAACGGGAACCACUGGAAAUCUUUUCUCCGCAUGGAAUCGAACCCGGGCCCUGGCAGUGACAGCGCCAAGGCCUAACCACUGGACCAACAGCAGGUUGCACUGAUCACGGUCUUCAGUUCCGUUGUCUGCAGUCAAGGUCACACAAUACACAUGAGGAAGGGAAGCCUGUACCUUCUGGAUGCUCCCACUGAACGGCUUGAGGAUGCCUGACUUCUUCUUCACGUCAUCAUAAUUGGGGACCCCACCAAUGAAAAUGUCCGAGUUGCACUUAAUCUGGGUGAAGCCUCCCUGCCAACAGAUGAAAAACGAAACACGGAGCAACUUCAGAAAAAAAUGGUUAAGAUUACCAAAGGUACCUUUGGUUCCCUGUCAGGGAGCAAAUGGCAGAGACAGUCUCAACACUCAUCCUGACAAUCUGUCUACACAUUGGCUUGACCUUUGCCUUGUUUCGCAUUGCUACUUACCACCUGUUUGAAAGUAAAUUUCUUGACAUUUCUGAGACUCAGUUUCAUCAUCUAUAAAAUGCGAGCGAGUAUGGAGACUGUUCCAUCAUCAAUACCCCUCUCCCUGCAGGAAGAUUACCUCCAACCUGUCAGUCUCAAGUGGGGCUAUGUAACUUGCUUUGGUCGAUAAAGCAUAAGCAGAAGAGAAAUGAAUCACUUCUGGGCAGAGGCUUUCGGAACCAGGAGUGGGUCACCAUGCCCUCUUCCCCCGCGCCCUGUUCCUUCAGCCUGGGUCUCAGAUUAAAGCUGCAGCUGACCAUUGAUGGACAUGUAGUGUGAGAGAAAUAACUCCUUAUUAUAAGGUGCUGCUAUUUUGGGCUUAUGUGUGCCUGACUGCAGUACAGUCUAGCCUGUCCUGGCGGCUGAGAUUCCACUGAUUUAGCACUUUGCCUAGAGUUGGAUGCAGGAUCUGCGUUCCAGUAUGGCAGCUAUUGUUAUAUUCACUAAUGGUAAAGAUAGAACCUCUUUAGGCCAAGAGAAAGGGAAGGUAUGGCAGGUGGGAGGCAUUCCUUGUUAUCAAAUACAAGGGCAGAGAAAUUCUUUUCCAGGUUCUCAAAGAAUUCCCCAUUGGUACCCAAGAUGGCUCUGUAUUAUUUUUUUA
Eubalaena glacialis (North Atlantic right whale) is the source of this 1442-nucleotide long non-coding RNA. RefSeq lists it as uncharacterized. NCBI's taxonomy places the organism in Eukaryota, Metazoa, Chordata, Mammalia, Artiodactyla, Balaenidae. The transcript is spliced from 5 exons. The record is from RefSeq and is a predicted model, not a curated record.